This 253-nucleotide ribosomal RNA is filed under the name uncultured bacterium. RNAcentral's name for it is "partial 16S ribosomal RNA". It matches the Rfam family "Bacterial small subunit ribosomal RNA", at positions 524 to 776 of the family's 1533-position model. The record is from RNAcentral.
UACGUAGGGCGCAAGCGUUGUCCGGAAUUAUUGGGCGUAAAGCGCACGUAGGCGGCUUUGUAAGUUAGAGGUGAAAGCCCGGAGCUCAACUCCGGAACUGCCUUUAAGACUGCAUCGCUUGAAUCCAGGAGAGGUGAGUGGAAUUCCGAGUGUAGAGGUGAAAUUCGUAGAUAUUCGGAAGAACACCAGUGGCGAAGGCGGCUCACUGGACUGGUAUUGACGCUGAGGUGCGAAAGCGUGGGGAGCAAACAGG